This 492-nucleotide ribosomal RNA is filed under the name uncultured bacterium. Its description in RNAcentral is "partial 16S ribosomal RNA". It matches the Rfam family "Bacterial small subunit ribosomal RNA", at positions 29 to 507 of the family's 1533-position model. The record is from RNAcentral.
AGUGAACGCUGGCGGUAGGCCUAACACAUGCAAGUCGAACGGCAGCACAGUAAGAGCUUGCUCUUACGGGUGGCGAGUGGCGGACGGGUGAGGAAUACAUCGGAAUCUACUUUUUCGUGGGGGAUAACGUAGGGAAACUUACGCUAAUACCGCAUACGACCUACGGGUGAAAGCAGGGGAUCUUCGGACCUUGCGCGAUUGAAUGAGCCGAUGUCGGAUUAGCUAGUUGGCGGGGUAAAGGCCCACCAAGGCGACGAUCCGUAGCUGGUCUGAGAGGAUGAACAGCCACACUGGAACUGAGACACGGUCCAGACUCCUACGGGAGGCAGCAGUGGGGAAUAUUGGACAAUGGGCGCAAGCCUGAUCCAGCAAUACCGCGUGGGUGAAGAAGGCCUUCGGGUUGUAAAGCCCUUUUGUUGGGAAAGAAAAGCAGCAGGUUAAUACCCCGCUGUUCUGACGGUACCCAAAGAAUAAGCACCGGCUAACUUCGUG